UAGCUUUGAGCAUCGCUGUCUACUCGUCCUU
This 31-nucleotide non-coding RNA is filed under the name Mus musculus (house mouse). The record is from RNAcentral. Lineage: Eukaryota; Metazoa; Chordata; Mammalia; Rodentia; Muridae.